This 501-nucleotide long non-coding RNA is filed under the name Ananas comosus (pineapple). Its description in RNAcentral is "long non-coding RNA (ACOM_LNC033157)". Lineage: Eukaryota; Viridiplantae; Streptophyta; Magnoliopsida; Poales; Bromeliaceae. The record is from RNAcentral.
AGUAAAUAAGCCGAACACGAGCUGAAUUUUUCAGCUCGUUUAAUAAAUGAGCCGAACACGAUCUGGGGUCAACUCGCUCGUGUUCGGCUCGAUAACAGCUCGAAUACAUAUAUUUUAUAUUUAUAUAAUUUAUUUAAUUAUAUUUUCAUAUAUAAAUAAAUAAUUAUAUAUAAUAUAUUUUUUUAUUAUUUAAUUUUUAACAAAAUAAAAAUAUAAAUGCGAGUUUAAUUAUAAAAAUACUUAUUUAUAUAUAAAGUUUCAACUAUUAGAUCAAAGUCUAAUGGAUAAAAUUUUAUAAAUUUAUUUUUUAUAUAUAUUUAAUCUAUUUUUUUUAAUUUAUUAUUCAUUAGUCAGCUUGUGAGCCAACUCAUGUUCGGCUCGUUAAUAAACGAGCCGAACACGAGCUGAAUUUUUUGGCUCAAUACUUUAACGAGCCAGCUCAUGUUCGGCUCGUUUAAUAAACGGAGCGAACACGAGUCGACUCCAGCUCGCUCGUGUUCG